GGUCUAUUAGUCUAGUUGGUUAGGACGUCGGAUUCUGAAGACCCUCAGAAACUUCCGUAAGCCCAGGUUCGAAUCCUGGAUGGACCU
RNAcentral lists this transfer RNA (87 nucleotides) under Colletotrichum orbiculare MAFF 240422. RNAcentral's name for it is "tRNA-Gln for anticodon CUG". It matches the Rfam family "tRNA". Rfam says of the family: Transfer RNA (tRNA) molecules are approximately 80 nucleotides in length. Their secondary structure includes four short double-helical elements and three loops (D, anti-codon, and T loops). The record is from Rfam by way of RNAcentral. Lineage: Eukaryota; Fungi; Ascomycota; Sordariomycetes; Glomerellales; Glomerellaceae.